This 444-nucleotide ribosomal RNA is filed under the name uncultured bacterium. Its description in RNAcentral is "bacterial SSU rRNA". It matches the Rfam family "Bacterial small subunit ribosomal RNA", at positions 331 to 792 of the family's 1533-position model. The record is from RNAcentral.
CCAGACUCCUACGGGAGGCAGCAGUGGGGAAUAUUGCACAAUGGGGGAAACCCUGAUGCAGCGACGCCGCGUGGGUGAAGAAGUAAUUCGUUACGUAAAGCCCUAUCAGCAGGGAAGAAAAUGACGGUACCUGAGUAAGAAGCCCCGGCUAACUACGUGCCAGCAGCCGCGGUAAUACGUAGGGGGCAAGCGUUAUCCGGAUUUACUGGGUGUAAAGGGCGCGUAGGUGGGCGCUUAAGUCAGGUGUGAAAACUCCGGGCUCAACCUGGAGACUGCACUUGAAACUGGGUGUCUUGAGGGCAGGAGAGGAAAGUGGAAUUCCUAGUGUAGCGGUGAAAUGCGUAGAUAUUAGGAGGAACACCAGUGGCGAAGGCGGCUUGCUGGACUGUAAAUGACGCUGAGGCUCGAAAGCGUGGGGAGCAAACAGGAUUAGAUACCCUCGUA